Molecule: ribosomal RNA, 484 nt
Filed under: Gemella haemolysans
Lineage: Bacteria; Bacillati; Bacillota; Bacilli; Caryophanales; Gemellaceae
Description: bacterial SSU rRNA
Rfam family: Bacterial small subunit ribosomal RNA
Source: RNAcentral
GACGAACGCUGGCGGCGUGCCUAAUACAUGCAAGUCGAGCGAAGUUUUUCUGGUGCUUGCACCGGAAAAACUUAGCGGCGAACGGGUGAGUAACACGUAAAGAACCUGCCUCAUAGACUGGGACAACUAUUGGAAACGAUAGCUAAUACCGGAUAACAGCAUUAACUGCAUGGUUGAUGUUUAAAAGUUGGUUUUGCUAACACUAUGAGAUGGCUUUGCGGUGCAUUAGCUAGUUGGUGGGGUAAAGGCCUACCAAGGCGACGAUGCAUAGCCGACCUGAGAGGGUGAUCGGCCACACUGGGACUGAGACACGGCCCAGACUCCUACGGGAGGCAGCAGUAGGGAAUCUUCCGCAAUGGGCGAAAGCCUGACGGAGCAACGCCGCGUGAGUGAGGAAGGAUUUCAGUUCGUAAAGCUCUGUUGUUAGGGAAGAAUGAUUGUGUAGUAACUAUACACAGAGAGACGGACCUAACCAAAAGCCACG